RNAcentral lists this transfer RNA (65 nucleotides) under uncultured Anaerotignum sp. It matches the Rfam family "tRNA", at positions 5 to 66 of the family's 71-position model. Rfam says of the family: Transfer RNA (tRNA) molecules are approximately 80 nucleotides in length. Their secondary structure includes four short double-helical elements and three loops (D, anti-codon, and T loops). Further hydrogen bonds mediate the characteristic L-shaped molecular structure. tRNAs have two regions of fundamental functional importance: the anti-codon, which is responsible for specific mRNA codon recognition, and the 3' end, to which the tRNAs corresponding amino acid is attached (by aminoacyl-tRNA synthetases). tRNAs cope with the degeneracy of the genetic code in two manners: having more than one tRNA (with a specific anti-codon) for a particular amino acid; and 'wobble' base-pairing, i.e. permitting non-standard base-pairing at the 3rd anti-codon position. The record is from RNAcentral. Lineage: Bacteria; Bacillati; Bacillota; Clostridia; Lachnospirales; Anaerotignaceae.
UCAGUAGUUUAAUGGCAGAACAUCAGCCUUCCAAGCUGUGGGUGAGGGUUCGAUUCCCUUCUGGU